This 255-nucleotide ribosomal RNA is filed under the name uncultured Lactobacillus sp. RNAcentral describes it as "partial 16S ribosomal RNA". It matches the Rfam family "Bacterial small subunit ribosomal RNA", at positions 107 to 353 of the family's 1533-position model. Lineage: Bacteria; Bacillati; Bacillota; Bacilli; Lactobacillales; Lactobacillaceae. The record is from RNAcentral.
UGAGUAACGCGUGGGUAACCUGCCCUUAAGUCUGGGAUACCAUUUGGAAACAGAUGCUAAUACCGGAUAAAAGCUACUUUCGCAUGAAAGAAGUUUAAAAGGCGGCGUAAGCUGUCGCUAAAGGAUGGACCUGCGAUGCAUUAGCUAGUUGGUAAGGUAACGGCUUACCAAGGCGAUGAUGCAUAGCCGAGUUGAGAGACUGAUCGGCCACAUUGGGACUGAGACACGGCCCAAACUCCUACGGGAGGCAGCACG